UACGAGGGGAGCAAGCGUUGUUCGGAUUUACUGGGCGUAAAGGGCGCGUAGGCGGCGUGACAAGUCACUUGUGAAAUCUCCGGGCUUAACUCGGAAAGGUCAACUGAUACUGCGCGGCUAGAGUGCAGAAGGGGCAACUGGAAUUCUCGGUGUAGCGGUGAAAUGUGUAGAUAUCGAGAGGAACAUCUGCGGCGAAGGCGGGUUGCUGGGCUGACACUGACGCUGACGCGCGAAAGCCAGGGGAGCGAACGGG
Molecule: ribosomal RNA, 253 nt
Filed under: uncultured prokaryote
Description: partial 16S ribosomal RNA
Rfam family: Bacterial small subunit ribosomal RNA
Source: RNAcentral